AAUACAAUAGGGCCCGUAAGUCUCGUUUACUUUCACUUUCGAUUUACCACUUCCGGGUACAUCGGCAGACUUAUUUACCGUUACGCAUAUAGGUAACCCGAAGAACUCGAGGGAUAUAGAAGUUAAAUUUGUUUCGGUCCUCUUCAGAUUUGAAGGAAUGGAUAGCACGGGUCAAAAAAUGCAGAUGUAUAGACAAGGAGGUAUAUGACAAGUAUAGAAUAUACAGAACUUUGUUCAAUAUGGACCAUAAAUCAACUGUUUGCACUGCCUAUGAACGUGAAAUAUCUAUACAUCAAAGAUAAAAAGGGAAAAGAGGAAGGAGGAUUUGUCCAUGAAGACCUUUAUUGCAACUACCAUCUCCCAGUUCCUUAAUUUGAGAAUGAUAUCAGAGAACACACAGUUACAGUGAAAUAUUAGUUUCAUAUAAGCCACUGAGAAUAGUCAAAUGUACUUUCCUGAAGAAGAUGAAUGACAUCCAGCACAAAAAUCUUAAUGUAUAAAGAGUAUGAUUUUAUGGUGUUUGACACUAUGAUCUUGUUAACAUGUUAAUGUCACAAUGAUAGAAACAGAGUAAAAUAUCCAUAUUUCAUUGCAGUUUUAAGUAUUAAAACUAGAUACUCUAUAUAUACCAAAGCUGAUAACAUAUCAGAGAUAAGGUUUUUUCAUGGAAUCACAGUAUAGCCAUGUGACAUUUUUGACAUUAAAUGACUAUGAAGUAAAGAUUAGCAGAAAUAUUAUAUAUCAUCUACUACUAAUAUUGUGAGGUAAUCAUUGAUAAGCUCACAAAUUUGCAAUCAAAGCUUUGAUAUAUAUGCUAAGCAGUGCACUAUAAAUUGUGUAAAAAUAAAGUUUAUUAAACUUA
Ruditapes philippinarum (Manila clam) is the source of this 862-nucleotide long non-coding RNA. RefSeq lists it as uncharacterized. The record is from RefSeq and is a predicted model, not a curated record. The transcript is spliced from 3 exons. NCBI's taxonomy places the organism in Eukaryota, Metazoa, Mollusca, Bivalvia, Venerida, Veneridae.